Molecule: ribosomal RNA, 2904 nt
Filed under: Escherichia coli
Lineage: Bacteria; Pseudomonadati; Pseudomonadota; Gammaproteobacteria; Enterobacterales; Enterobacteriaceae
Description: bacterial LSU rRNA
Rfam family: Bacterial large subunit ribosomal RNA
Source: RNAcentral
UUAAGCGACUAAGCGUACACGGUGGAUGCCCUGGCAGUCAGAGGCGAUGAAGGACGUGCUAAUCUGCGAUAAGCGUCGGUAAGGUGAUAUGAACCGUUAUAACCGGCGAUUUCCGAAUGGGGAAACCCAGUGUGUUUCGACACACUAUCAUUAACUGAAUCCAUAGGUUAAUGAGGCGAACCGGGGGAACUGAAACAUCUAAGUACCCCGAGGAAAAGAAAUCAACCGAGAUUCCCCCAGUAGCGGCGAGCGAACGGGGAGCAGCCCAGAGCCUGAAUCAGUGUGUGUGUUAGUGGAAGCGUCUGGAAAGGCGCGCGAUACAGGGUGACAGCCCCGUACACAAAAAUGCACAUGCUGUGAGCUCGAUGAGUAGGGCGGGACACGUGGUAUCCUGUCUGAAUAUGGGGGGACCAUCCUCCAAGGCUAAAUACUCCUGACUGACCGAUAGUGAACCAGUACCGUGAGGGAAAGGCGAAAAGAACCCCGGCGAGGGGAGUGAAAAAGAACCUGAAACCGUGUACGUACAAGCAGUGGGAGCACGCUUAGGCGUGUGACUGCGUACCUUUUGUAUAAUGGGUCAGCGACUUAUAUUCUGUAGCAAGGUUAACCGAAUAGGGGAGCCGAAGGGAAACCGAGUCUUAACUGGGCGUUAAGUUGCAGGGUAUAGACCCGAAACCCGGUGAUCUAGCCAUGGGCAGGUUGAAGGUUGGGUAACACUAACUGGAGGACCGAACCGACUAAUGUUGAAAAAUUAGCGGAUGACUUGUGGCUGGGGGUGAAAGGCCAAUCAAACCGGGAGAUAGCUGGUUCUCCCCGAAAGCUAUUUAGGUAGCGCCUCGUGAAUUCAUCUCCGGGGGUAGAGCACUGUUUCGGCAAGGGGGUCAUCCCGACUUACCAACCCGAUGCAAACUGCGAAUACCGGAGAAUGUUAUCACGGGAGACACACGGCGGGUGCUAACGUCCGUCGUGAAGAGGGAAACAACCCAGACCGCCAGCUAAGGUCCCAAAGUCAUGGUUAAGUGGGAAACGAUGUGGGAAGGCCCAGACAGCCAGGAUGUUGGCUUAGAAGCAGCCAUCAUUUAAAGAAAGCGUAAUAGCUCACUGGUCGAGUCGGCCUGCGCGGAAGAUGUAACGGGGCUAAACCAUGCACCGAAGCUGCGGCAGCGACGCUUAUGCGUUGUUGGGUAGGGGAGCGUUCUGUAAGCCUGCGAAGGUGUGCUGUGAGGCAUGCUGGAGGUAUCAGAAGUGCGAAUGCUGACAUAAGUAACGAUAAAGCGGGUGAAAAGCCCGCUCGCCGGAAGACCAAGGGUUCCUGUCCAACGUUAAUCGGGGCAGGGUGAGUCGACCCCUAAGGCGAGGCCGAAAGGCGUAGUCGAUGGGAAACAGGUUAAUAUUCCUGUACUUGGUGUUACUGCGAAGGGGGGACGGAGAAGGCUAUGUUGGCCGGGCGACGGUUGUCCCGGUUUAAGCGUGUAGGCUGGUUUUCCAGGCAAAUCCGGAAAAUCAAGGCUGAGGCGUGAUGACGAGGCACUACGGUGCUGAAGCAACAAAUGCCCUGCUUCCAGGAAAAGCCUCUAAGCAUCAGGUAACAUCAAAUCGUACCCCAAACCGACACAGGUGGUCAGGUAGAGAAUACCAAGGCGCUUGAGAGAACUCGGGUGAAGGAACUAGGCAAAAUGGUGCCGUAACUUCGGGAGAAGGCACGCUGAUAUGUAGGUGAAGUCCCUCGCGGAUGGAGCUGAAAUCAGUCGAAGAUACCAGCUGGCUGCAACUGUUUAUUAAAAACACAGCACUGUGCAAACACGAAAGUGGACGUAUACGGUGUGACGCCUGCCCGGUGCCGGAAGGUUAAUUGAUGGGGUUAGCCGCAAGGCGAAGCUCUUGAUCGAAGCCCCGGUAAACGGCGGCCGUAACUAUAACGGUCCUAAGGUAGCGAAAUUCCUUGUCGGGUAAGUUCCGACCUGCACGAAUGGCGUAAUGAUGGCCAGGCUGUCUCCACCCGAGACUCAGUGAAAUUGAACUCGCUGUGAAGAUGCAGUGUACCCGCGGCAAGACGGAAAGACCCCGUGAACCUUUACUAUAGCUUGACACUGAACAUUGAGCCUUGAUGUGUAGGAUAGGUGGGAGGCUUUGAAGUGUGGACGCCAGUCUGCAUGGAGCCGACCUUGAAAUACCACCCUUUAAUGUUUGAUGUUCUAACGUGGACCCGUGAUCCGGGUUGCGGACAGUGUCUGGUGGGUAGUUUGACUGGGGCGGUCUCCUCCUAAAGAGUAACGGAGGAGCACGAAGGUUGGCUAAUCCUGGUCGGACAUCAGGAGGUUAGUGCAAUGGCAUAAGCCAGCUUGACUGCGAGCGUGACGGCGCGAGCAGGUGCGAAAGCAGGUCAUAGUGAUCCGGUGGUUCUGAAUGGAAGGGCCAUCGCUCAACGGAUAAAAGGUACUCCGGGGAUAACAGGCUGAUACCGCCCAAGAGUUCAUAUCGACGGCGGUGUUUGGCACCUCGAUGUCGGCUCAUCACAUCCUGGGGCUGAAGUAGGUCCCAAGGGUAUGGCUGUUCGCCAUUUAAAGUGGUACGCGAGCUGGGUUUAGAACGUCGUGAGACAGUUCGGUCCCUAUCUGCCGUGGGCGCUGGAGAAUUGAGGGGGGCUGCUCCUAGUACGAGAGGACCGGAGUGGACGCAUCACUGGUGUUCGGGUUGUCAUGCCAAUGGCACUGCCCGGUAGCUAAAUGCGGAAGAGAUAAGUGCUGAAAGCAUCUAAGCACGAAACUUGCCCCGAGAUGAGUUCUCCCUGACUCCUUGAGAGUCCUGAAGGAACGUUGAAGACGACGACGUUGAUAGGCCGGGUGUGUAAGCGCAGCGAUGCGUUGAGCUAACCGGUACUAAUGAACCGUGAGGCUUAACCUU